CGAACGGGUGAGCAACGCGUGAGUAACCUGCCCUGGAGUGGGGGACAACAGUUGGAAACGACUGCUAAUACCGCAUAAGCCCACGAUCCGGCAUCGGAUUGAGGGAAAAGGAUUUAUUCGCUUCAGGAUGGACUCGCGUCCAAUUAGCUAGUUGGUGAGGUAACGGCCCACCAAGGCGACGAUUGGUAGCCGGACUGAGAGGUUGAACGGCCACAUUGGGACUGAGACACGGCCCAG
RNAcentral lists this ribosomal RNA (237 nucleotides) under uncultured bacterium. Its description in RNAcentral is "partial 16S ribosomal RNA". It matches the Rfam family "Bacterial small subunit ribosomal RNA", at positions 99 to 334 of the family's 1533-position model. The record is from RNAcentral.